RNAcentral lists this ribosomal RNA (253 nucleotides) under uncultured bacterium. RNAcentral's name for it is "partial 16S ribosomal RNA". It matches the Rfam family "Bacterial small subunit ribosomal RNA", at positions 524 to 776 of the family's 1533-position model. The record is from RNAcentral.
CACGUAGGGGACGAGCGUUGUCCGGAUUCAUUGGGCGUAAAGCGCGCGUAGGCGGCUCGGAAAGUCGGUCGUGAAAUGCCGGGGCUCAACCCCGGGACUGCGUCCGAUACUCUCGAGCUGGAGGCAGGUAGGGGAGAUCGGAAUUCCUGGUGUAGCGGUGAAAUGCGCAGAUAUCAGGAGGAACACCGGUGGCGAAGGCGGGACUCUGGGCCGAUACUGACGCUGAGGAGCGAAAGCGUGGGGAGCAAACAGG